GCCCUGCUGGAGGAGCUCUGGGGACCUGUCGCCUCCCCAGAACGAUCCUCAGUAAUGCGACCACCUCAGGAUGUGACCGCGGGUGCCGGGAUCGGUGUUGGAAAGGAAGAUAAUGGGGUGAUGCCCUUCGGAGCUGUGGGCCC
This is a long non-coding RNA of Fukomys damarensis (Damara mole-rat), 143 nucleotides long. The record is from Ensembl. NCBI's taxonomy places the organism in Eukaryota, Metazoa, Chordata, Mammalia, Rodentia, Bathyergidae.